This is a non-coding RNA of Kogia breviceps (pygmy sperm whale), 3795 nucleotides long. Lineage: Eukaryota; Metazoa; Chordata; Mammalia; Artiodactyla; Physeteridae. The record is from RefSeq and is a predicted model, not a curated record.
CCUGUGGCAUUUCAGCAGCUUCUCUUCACUGAGAAAAGCACAGAAUCUGCUUUUCACCGGGUCCCCUCCUCUUCCGCCCCCUCCCUCCGCCAUCACUUCGCUCUUUCCACGACCGCUUCCAACGCGCCUCCCGGGGCCUUCUCACUGCCUAUUGCUUAUUCCAAGGUGGUACCAGCUCCCGAGCUGCUGUACCAAAUUGCUAGCAAGUUGGCGGCUUAAAACAGCAGAAGUCUAUCUUCUCACAGUUCUGGAGGCCAGGAGUCCAAACCGAGGUGUCAGCACAGCCGUGAUCCUCCAGAAGCUCCGGGGGAGAAGCGUGCCCGGGUUCUUGCAGCUUCGGUGCUAAGCCUUAGCUUUACCAAAACAAGAAGACCAGGUUCUUAUAUGCAAAGAGCCCACAGCCCAGUUGGAGAGAUGGACAAAUGAGGAAAUAAUCGCGAACAAAUGUGAGGGUGCUAAAUAUGCAGAGAAAUCGGAGAGAGGCCCUCCCCUGGGGUCACGUAUCAACUCAGAGCACAGGAAAAACUCAGGAGGCAAACUGGAGACAUCAAAUAUAAAUGACCUUUUGAGAAGUUUUGGUCCCAAAGGAGGAACUAGAAAAAGGAGCGCUGGUUGGUGCAGAAAGCGGGGUCAAAAGAAGAUUUUACGCUUUCUAACGAGAGAAACAACUGCAUGCUUGUGUGCUGUCGGAGAUCAUCCAGGAGCGGGAGAAAAUUUGGUGAAACAGGAACAGAAGGAAGGUGGCUGGCGAGCAAGCUCUAGGCACACGUGGAGGAAUGAGCUUUAGAUAAAAACACCAGUAGUUCGUAAAGGCUGAGUUCAUGGGGCAAACGCUGGUGAGCUGGAGAUAGAAAAGGGGAAUCCGGACUUUGUCUUCUGACAGCGUGGGCUUCCUCAGUUACAGAGAAAGAAGGUUCUCGACCGGGAGUGGUGAAGGCGGAGGUGUGAGAAGGCCGAGGCAGGGGCCAGGGAGGGUCCUCGCGGGCGCGGCGGAGGGGCCGCGGGCAGCUUGCGGCUCCUGGGGGUCCCCGGGCAGCCUGGCUUCGUGUUCGCCAUCAGCCUCGUUCACGUGCUCUGCUGUAGGUGUGAACCGCACGGAGCUGGAGUCGCUGCUCUUAUAAGGUGCCAAGCGGGAGAAAGCACGAGAGCUGGGUGCGAUUUCAUGGGCGUGACUGCAAUGACAGUGGAAUUGAAGCUGACUAAGGAGCAAAAAGGAAAUGAAGAAGAUGAAAGGGCGUGAAAAGUGGUCGGACCACAGGUUUAGCCACUUCGGUGGGUUUUGGAGUCAGAGAACUAAGGAGACGUGCAGAAGGAAAGGAGCUGGUGGUCAAAGAGUUGGGUAAAGGAAAGUGAGGUCACAGGAGGACUGGUUUAUGAGUGGUGACCCAGCCGGGGUGCUUGAGACACGUGGAGGGUGAGAGCUUCCGAGGACAGACGUGCAGGAACGGAGAGCCCAGGGGCUGAGAAGAAGUGCCUGUGCGCAGGCGGACAGCCAAGAACUCAGGCAGGAUCGGGAAUCAGGCGCACUUGUGUGAGAUACGCAGGCUUGAGACCGGGUUUCCACAGAUGACAGCCUCGCUGGAGGAUGAGGUUCAACCCAGAGAAGGGAGGACGGAUGAUCUGAGCCACAGCAAGGGGCAAGUAGAACACCUGUGCCAGCUCCCAGCGGUGGUAAGGGGGCUGCAGAAAAACAAACACGAGCCCUCGCGCUUGGAGAGGUUUCUCAGCGGAGGACACUUACGAGCCGUAAUGCAACCACGAUCCUCAGUGAAACUGUUAACUCUUAUAAACUGGGACCAGGGUCCUAGAGAGUCUCUUUUCCUCGUAGCAGGUAGCACCGUGCUUUGCGCUGGGUAGGAAGUCUUUGUUGAACGGGUUUUUAGUUUUCCUGUGCUAUCACUUUGCCCUGCUGCUCAGGCAAUAACUGGUUACAUUGGAAUCAAGAAUAAAAUGUGAAACUCUAGGAUAGGUAGAGCUUUCAUUUCACUCUGUUAGAAAUACUUAGUAAGCACUGGAGAUACAAAAGGAAGUAGCAAACAUGCAUCUGAGGAAUUGACAGUGAACAAUAUGGCUGGAACCAUUAAAAUGGUGAAGCGAGAAGAAACCCCUUGCACAGAAGGACAUCUGAAAAGUUUUGUAGGUGGUAGGUGAGUAGGGUGGAGAUAAAGAUUGAUGGAGAAUAAACUCCUCCAUGACAUGCAAGCUAAUUUAGAACUGAAUUACAAUUUUACGAAUCCCAAAGAUAUUCUUACAAGGGGUCAGAUCAAGCAGUGAUUCUGAUGAAUUUGCAAAGGCAAAUGCAACCAAGAACAAUCCUCUUCAUUUUUGUCUACUGUCCUCCUCCUUACAUACAUGUUCUUACUAAGUGAAUUGAGCAAGUCUAUGUUAUUGUGAAAUAUCAGUGAGAAAUAUUUAAAUACAUGUAAUUACAUUUUUCUUUUCUGAAUCUUCUUGGAAAAUUGGGUGGAGUUUCUAUCCAUUCCAAUGCUUUAGAGGGUAGCUUCAGGGGCAGCUGUUAUUGGAUGAUGGAAUGAAGAGGAUGCAAAUACAGAGGCACAAUAAAAAGCCAUUUGUGUAUAAACUUAGGAAAGAAUGAGAAAGUAAAGAAUAUGAUUUUUUAGCUUGUCUUUCUGCUUCUUUGUUUUCUCUAAGUUUUCUUUUUAAUAGGAUGAUCAAUAAUUCCAGAAAUACAAUAUAAUUUUUUGUCUUUGUGGAUUUAAUUGUAACAACUUCAUGCUCUCUAAAGGUUUUCUUUUUCAUAAGGACAUGUGGUGGAUUAAAUAAUGGUCUAAAGAUUUCCAUGUCCUAAUCCCCAGAGCCUGUGAAUGUUACCUUAUAUGGCAAAAGGUCUUUGCAGAUGUGAUCUAGGGUAAUCUAAAUUAGAUUAUCAUGAAUUAUCUGGGUGGCUGAUAUAAUCACAGUGGUCUUUAUGAGAGGGAACAGGAGAGUCAGUCAAGGAAGGUGAUGUGGGAACAGGAGCGGAGAUUGGAGGGUGGCAACCUCUGGGCCUGGAAGAGGCAAAGAACAGAGUCUUCCUAGGGUCUCCAGAAGGUGCCAGCCCAGCCAUCACCUUGACUUUAGGUCCAGAAGUAUUUAUUUCUGACUUCUGACCCCAAUAACUUUAAUGUGCUGUUAUAGGCAGCUAAAUUUGUGGCAAUUUGUUAAGGAAAGUAAUACACCCCGUAUUACUUUUAAAUCAGAAAAAGUCAUUAAAAUAAAUAAAAGGGUGAAAAGUUUUCUAUUCUUUUAAAGUACAUAAAUUAGGAGUUUGAGAUUAAUAUAUAAAUACACACUAUUAUAUAUAAAAUAGGUAACUAACAAGGAAUUAGUGUAGAGCACAGGAACUAUACACAAUAUCUUGUAAUAACCUAUGAUGGAAAAGAAUAUGAAAAAGACUAUGUGUGUGUGUAUAUAUAUGUAUAUUAUUUAUAUACAUAUAUAUAUAAAUCACUGCACUGUACACCAGAAACUAACACAAAAUUGUAAGUUAACUACACUUCAAUUUUAAAAUCUAUAAAAAGCAAAGUAGUUUAUAUUAAAGUGCAACAUUUAUGGAAAAUCUCUCUACGUGUGUUUGCAUCUGUUGCCACUUUGACCUACAAUUUAAGAUUCACUGAAUAAAAGGAUCAAAGUGUCCACCUUUUUGCUCCCAUACAAAUUGCUAAGCUAUUUAUUUUAAAUAGCUUUCUAAACUAAUUUCAGGAGGAGCAGACUGUGUCAUUUGGAAGGAGUUUUAUCAUUACUCAGUUGCUUUUGUAAUUUAUUUUCUAAACUAGAUUUUGCAUGCAAACAUCA